RNAcentral lists this ribosomal RNA (460 nucleotides) under uncultured bacterium. RNAcentral's name for it is "partial 16S ribosomal RNA". It matches the Rfam family "Bacterial small subunit ribosomal RNA", at positions 338 to 795 of the family's 1533-position model. The record is from RNAcentral.
CCUACGGGCGGCAGCAGUGAGGAAUAUUGGUCAAUGGGCGCGAGCCUGAACCAGCCAAGUCGCGUGAAGGAUGACUGCCCUACGGGUUGUAAACUUCUUUUAUAAAGGAAUAAAGUGAGGCACGUGUGCCUUUUUGUAUGUACUUUAUGAAUAAGGAUCGGCUAACUCCGUGCCAGCAGCCGCGGUAAUACGGAGGAUCCGAGCGUUAUCCGGAUUUAUUGGGUUUAAAGGGAGCGUAGUGGGGUUGUUAAGUCAGGUGUGAAAGUUUGGGGCUCAACCGUAAAAUUGCAAUUGAUACUGGCAGCCUUGAGUACAGUUGAGGUAGGCGGAAUGCGUGGUGUAGCGGUGAAAUGCUUAGAUAUCACGAAGAACUCCGAUUGCGAAGGCAGCUUACUAGACUGCCACUGACAUUGAGGCACGAAAGUGUGGGUAUCAAACAGGAUUAGAUACCCUUGUAGUC